AUCAAACUCCGUGAUAGCUGGUUCUCCCCGAAAUGCAUUUAGGUGCAGCGUCACGUGUUUCUUACCGGAGGUAGAGCUACUGGAUAGCUGAUGGGCCUCACCAGGUUACUGACGUUAGCCAAACUCCGAAUGCCGGUAAGUGAGAGCGUGGCAGUGAGACUGCGGGGGAUAAGCUCCGUAGUCGAGAGGGAAACAGCCCAGACCACCAUCUAAGGUCCCUAAGCGUGUGCUAAGUGGGAAAGGAUGUGGAGUUGCAUUGACAACCAGGAGGUUGGCUUAGAAGCAGCCACCCUUUAAAGAGUGCGUAAUAGCUCACUGGUCAAGUGAUUCCGCGCCGACAAUGUAGCGGGGCUCAAGCACACCACCGAAGCUGUGGCAUUGACACACUGCUCGGCCAGUUUUCCUGCGGGGUUCUGGUCCAGGCGUGUUGAUGGGUAGGGGAGCGUCGUGUGGCCAGGGAAGCGGCGGAGUGAUCCAGCCGUGGAGGCCACACGAGUGAGAAUGCAGGCAUGAGUAGCGAAUGACGGGCGAGAAACCCGUCCGCCGAAUAACCAAGGGUUCCAGGGUCAAGCUAAUCUGCCCUGGGUAAGUCGGGACCUAAGGCGAGGCCGACAGGCGUAGUCGAUGGACAUCCGGUUGAUAUUCCGGAACCGGCGAAGAACCGCCCAUGACGAACCUAGUGAUGCUAAACGCCCAAAGCUGUUGUCCAAGACCUUCGGGUUGAGGGUUUCAGUGGAGCGCGUGACCCGAUCUAGUAGUAGUCAAGCGAUGGAGAGACGCAGGAAGGUAGCCUCCGCGUGGCGAUGGUAGUCCACGUCCAAGGGUGUAGGGCGAGCUGUAGGCAAAUCCGCAGCUCACAUAGCCUGAGACCUGAUAGUGACCGCGUAUGCGGGAAGCAGGGUGAUCCUAUGCUGCCAAGAAAAUCUUCUAGCGAGGUUCGAGCCGCCCGUACCCCAAACCGACUCAGGUGGUUAGGUAGAGAAUACCAAGGCGAUCGAGUGAAUCGUGGUUAAGGAAUUCGGCAAAAUACCCCCGUAACUUCGGGAGAAGGGGGGCCCAGAGGGUGAAGGCACUUGCUGCCUAGCCUGAACGGCCGCAGAGACCAGGGAGAAGCGACUGUUUACUAAAAACACAGGUCCGUGCGAAGUCGCAAGACGAUGUAUACGGACUGACGCCUGCCCGGUGCUGGAAGGUUAAGAGGACCGGUUAGUUCUUCGGAGCGAAGCUGAGAAUUUAAGCCCCAGUAAACGGCGGUGGUAACUAUAACCAUCCUAAGGUAGCGAAAUUCCUUGUCGGGUAAGUUCCGACCUGCACGAAUGGCGUAACGACUUCUCCACUGUCUCAACCACGAACUCGGCGAAAUUGCACUACGAGUAAAGAUGCUCGUUACGCGCAGCAGGACGGAAAGACCCCGGGACCUUUACUACAGCUUGGUAUUGGUGUUCGGUACGGCU
This 1454-nucleotide ribosomal RNA is filed under the name Salmonella enterica subsp. enterica serovar Javiana. RNAcentral's name for it is "bacterial LSU rRNA". It matches the Rfam family "Bacterial large subunit ribosomal RNA", at positions 832 to 2134 of the family's 2925-position model. The record is from RNAcentral. Lineage: Bacteria; Pseudomonadati; Pseudomonadota; Gammaproteobacteria; Enterobacterales; Enterobacteriaceae.